GUAACAAGGUUUCCGUAGGUGAACCUGCGGAAGGAUCAUUACUGAAGAAUAGGGCUUGAGACUGCGAACGUGUGCUCGACCUCCUCUUCAACACACACCUUUGUGCACUUCCCCAUUUUCAUAUAAAAACCUAGUUAUAUGCAUGUCUUUUAUACUCUAUGGAGUAAUGUACAACUUUCAACAACGGAUCUCUUGGCUUUCGCAUCGAUGAAGAACGCAGCGAACGUGCGAAACGUAAUGUGAAUUGCAGAAUUCAGUGAAUCAUCGAAUCUUUGAACGCAUCUUGCGCUCCUUGGCAUUCCGAGGAGCAUGCCUGUUUGAGUGUCGUGAAUACUCUCAAUUUCAAUCUUUUUGUUUGAAAUUGGAUUUGGACGUUGUUGUGGAAAUCACGACUCGUCCUAAAUACAUUAGCGAGUCUGCCUUGAUCACGCACAAUGUGAUAAAAAAACAUUGUUAAGAUCAAGUCAAUUGCUUCUAACCGUCGAAAGACAAACUCAUGUCAUUUGACCUCAAAUCAGGUAGGACUACCCGCUGAACUUAAGC
RNAcentral lists this ribosomal RNA (543 nucleotides) under Geastrum minutisporum. RNAcentral describes it as "eukaryotic LSU rRNA". The stretch from base 173 to 327 matches the Rfam family "5.8S ribosomal RNA". Lineage: Eukaryota; Fungi; Basidiomycota; Agaricomycetes; Geastrales; Geastraceae. The record is from RNAcentral.